This 434-nucleotide ribosomal RNA is filed under the name uncultured bacterium. Its description in RNAcentral is "partial 16S ribosomal RNA". It matches the Rfam family "Bacterial small subunit ribosomal RNA", at positions 29 to 507 of the family's 1533-position model. The record is from RNAcentral.
AACGAACGCUGGCGGCAGGCCUAACACAUGCAAGUCGAACGAACCUUUCGGGGUUAGUGGCGGACGGGUGAGUAACACGUGGGAACGUGCCUUUAGGUUCGGAAUAACUCAGGGAAACUUGUGCUAAUACCGAAUGUGCCCUUCGGGGGAAAGAUUAAUCGCCUUUAGAGCGGCCCGCGUCUGAUUAGCUAGUUGGUUGAGGUAAUGGCUCACCAAGGCGACGUUCAGUAGCUGGUCUGAGAGGAUGAUCAGCCACAUUGGGACUGAGACACGGCCCAAACUCCUACGGGAGGCAGCAGUGGGGAAUCUUGCACAAUGGGCGAAAGCCUGACGCAGCCAUGCCGCGUGAAUGAUGAAGGUCUUAGGAUUGUAAAAUUCUUUCACCGGGGACGAUAAUGACGGUACCCGGAGAAGAAGCCCCGGCUAACUUCGUG